This 195-nucleotide small nuclear RNA is filed under the name Castor canadensis (American beaver). RNAcentral describes it as "U2 spliceosomal RNA (ENSCCNG00000017348.1)". It matches the Rfam family "U2 spliceosomal RNA". From Rfam's summary of the family: U2 is a small nuclear RNA (snRNA) component of the spliceosome (involved in pre-mRNA splicing). Complementary binding between U2 snRNA (in an area lying towards the 5' end but 3' to hairpin I) and the branchpoint sequence (BPS) of the intron results the bulging out of an unpaired adenosine, on the BPS, which initiates a nucleophilic attack at the intronic 5' splice site, thus starting the first of two transesterification reactions that mediate splicing. Lineage: Eukaryota; Metazoa; Chordata; Mammalia; Rodentia; Castoridae. The record is from Rfam by way of RNAcentral.
AUCGCUUCUCGGCCUUUUGGCUAAGAUCAAGUGUAGUAUCUACCUGUUCUUAUCAGUUUAAUAUCUGAUACGUCCUCUAUCCGAGGACAAUAUAUUAAAUGGAUUUUUGGAACAGGGAGAUGGAAUAGGACCUUGCUCCGUCCACUCCAUGCAUCGACCUGGUAUUGCAGUAACUCCAGGAAAGGUGCACCCCUC